UGCCCAGCAACUCCUAUCCCUACCUCCUCGCGGUACCGGCCGAAAACUAUGAGCAACCUUAGGGAAGA
This is a non-coding RNA of Aedes albopictus (Asian tiger mosquito), 68 nucleotides long. The record is from Rfam. Lineage: Eukaryota; Metazoa; Arthropoda; Insecta; Diptera; Culicidae.